Molecule: long non-coding RNA, 586 nt
Filed under: Phoenix dactylifera (date palm)
Lineage: Eukaryota; Viridiplantae; Streptophyta; Magnoliopsida; Arecales; Arecaceae
Description: long non-coding RNA (PDAC_LNC018928)
Source: RNAcentral
CCUUUUUGUUAUCAUCAAAAAGAUACAUGGGAAAAAAUGCAAUAAAUGAUAAACUUCAAACUUCAUUGAUCAAAAUAGGAAUCAUUUUCAUACAUUCAGACCAAAAACAAAAGCAGAUACAAUGUUCCUUAAUCAAAGUUUAAAGAUGCAUGAUAAACACAAAAUACAUAUGAGAACUAGAUACAUAUCCUAGGCUCUAAACAAGAUCAUGAGACUCUCCCGGAUCGCUUGGCUACGACUCUCUUAGGUCCCAUUUCUCCAAGAUCUUGAAGUAAUCUACUGUUUGGAGAUGAUUGGAGAAGAUUUGAGAGUGGGGAAUAGGGUUUUCAGAAGAGGACAAGGGCAAACAGUGCCCUAGAUAGCUCACGGGUCCCCCUUUUAACAGUGGGAUCCCGACGUUGGGUCGACUCAAGAAACUUCUUGGGUCGACUCAACGUUGGGUCGACCCUAUUCUGGGUUGGGUUGACCCAAGUGCAGAAUUUUUCUUUUCUCUUUCUUUUUGCUUCAAAAAAAUUUUCCUUGCUUCCAAUCCUUAUAAAUUCUUUCUGGGACAAUGAUACAUGAGUAAGGAAUCUAUAGAUAACAA